RNAcentral lists this ribosomal RNA (428 nucleotides) under uncultured bacterium. RNAcentral's name for it is "partial 16S ribosomal RNA". It matches the Rfam family "Bacterial small subunit ribosomal RNA", at positions 354 to 796 of the family's 1533-position model. The record is from RNAcentral.
GUGGGGAAUAUUGGGCAAUGGGGGAAACCCUGACCCAGCAACGCCGCGUGAAGGAAGAAGGCUUUCGGGUUGUAAACUUCUUUUACCAGGGAAAAACACAAUGAUGGUACCUGGAGAAAAAGCUACGGCUAACUACGUGCCAGCAGCCGCGGUAAUACGUAGGUGGCAAGCGUUGUCCGGAAUUACUGGGUGUAAAGGGCGUGUAGGCGGAACUACAAGUCAGGGGUGAAAACUAUGGGCUUAACCCAUAGCCUGCCUUUGAAACUGUAGUCCUUGAGUGCUGGAGAGGCAAUUGGAAUUCCUAGUGUAGCGGUGAAAUGCGUAGAUAUUAGGAGGAACACCAGUGGCGAAGGCGAAUUGCUGGACAGUAACUGACGCUGAGGCGCGAAAGCGUGGGGAGCAAACAGGAUUAGAUACCCGAGUAGUCC